GACGAGGUGGACAAACGUUAUUCGGAUUUACUGGGCUUAAAGCGUGCGUAGGCGGCUCAGAAAGUUGGGUGUGAAAGCCCUCGGCUCAACCGAGGAAUUGCGCUCAAAACUACUGAGCUUGAGGGAGAUAGGGGAGAGCGGAACUGAUGGUGGAGCGGUGAAAUGCGUUGAUAUCAUCAGGAACACCGGUGGCGAAGGCGGGUCUCUGGGCCGUAACUGACGCUGAGGAGCGAAAGCGUGGGGAGCGAACAGG
Molecule: ribosomal RNA, 253 nt
Filed under: uncultured bacterium
Lineage: Bacteria
Description: partial 16S ribosomal RNA
Rfam family: Bacterial small subunit ribosomal RNA
Source: RNAcentral